CCCUACUACAUGUCGGCUGCCUAAGUGGCUGGUGUGCUUGAUCCUCUCAUCUCAAAUCCGUUGCUCUGCUGGCACUGGCAGCUGCAGCUGGAGGUUGUUGCAGUGUGCGGCUUCCAUCUAGUCCUCGCAUGCUGGUCCGCUCCCUCCCUGGUUGGGUUGUGUCUGCACUCCUGGAAUUGUCUUGGAGUUGCAGUGCUUUGGACGAUCUGUCUUGUUUUGCCAGUGUUUGUUUGGGAUGCUCUCAACGAAACCUGUUGCUGCUUGGACAGGCUGAGCAAGCGGGGGCUCGAGUAGUUGGCCUGAAGCCAUGUUUUUACAAAGAGAAAUGUUUUAAUGAAAUUGUUUAAUAA
This is a long non-coding RNA of Fundulus heteroclitus (mummichog), 350 nucleotides long. RefSeq lists it as uncharacterized. NCBI's taxonomy places the organism in Eukaryota, Metazoa, Chordata, Actinopteri, Cyprinodontiformes, Fundulidae. The transcript has 4 exons. The record is from RefSeq and is a predicted model, not a curated record.